GAUGAACGCUGGCGGCGUGCCUAAUACAUGCAAGUCGAGCGAACAGAUGAGAAGCUUGCUUCUCUGAUGUUAGCGGCGGACGGGUGAGUAACACGUGGGUAACCUACCUAUAAGACUGGGAUAACUCCGGGAAACCGGGGCUAAUACCGGAUAAUCUUUUGAACCGCAUGGUUCAAUAGUGAAAGGCGGUUUCGGCUGUCACUUAUAGAUGGACCCGCGCCGUAUUAGCUAGUUGGUAAGGUAACGGCUUACCAAGGCGACGAUACGUAGCCGACCUGAGAGGGUGAUCGGCCACACUGGAACUGAGACACGGUCCAGACUCCUACGGGAGGCAGCAGUAGGGAAUCUUCCGCAAUGGGCGAAAGCCAGACGGAGCAACGCCGCGUGAGUGAUGAAGGUCCUCGGAUCGUAAAACUCUGUUGUUAGGGAAGAACAAAUUUGUUAGUAACUGAACAAGUCUUGAUGGUACCUAACCAGAAAGCCACGGCUAACUACGUGCCAGCCGCCGCCGUAA
This 514-nucleotide ribosomal RNA is filed under the name uncultured bacterium. RNAcentral's name for it is "partial 16S ribosomal RNA". It matches the Rfam family "Bacterial small subunit ribosomal RNA", at positions 28 to 523 of the family's 1533-position model. The record is from RNAcentral.